UUACCAGACUCCUACGGGAGGCAGCAGUGGGGGAUAUUGCACAAUGGGGGAAACCCUGAUGCAGCGACGCCGCGUGAGUGAAGAAGUAUUUCGGUAUGUAAAGCUCUAUCAGCAGGGACGAAAAUGACGGUACCUGAGUAAGAAGCCCCGGCUAACUACGUGCCAGCAGCCGCGGUAAUACAUAGGGAGCAAGCGUUAUCCGGAUUUAUUGGGUGUAAAGGGUGCGUAGACGGGAAAUUAAGUUAGUUGUGAAAUCCCUCGGCUUAACUGAGGAACUGCAACUAAAACUGGUUUUCUUGAGUACGGGAGAGGAAAGUGGAAUGCCUAGUGUAGCGGUGAAAUGCGUAGAUAUUAGGAGGAACACCAGUGGCGAAGGCGGCUUACUGGACAGUGACUGACACUGAGGCUCGAAAGCGUGGGGAGCAAACAGGAUUAGAUACCCUCGUAC
This 448-nucleotide ribosomal RNA is filed under the name uncultured bacterium. RNAcentral describes it as "bacterial SSU rRNA". It matches the Rfam family "Bacterial small subunit ribosomal RNA", at positions 328 to 793 of the family's 1533-position model. The record is from RNAcentral.